Molecule: ribosomal RNA, 497 nt
Filed under: uncultured bacterium
Lineage: Bacteria
Description: partial 16S ribosomal RNA
Rfam family: Bacterial small subunit ribosomal RNA
Source: RNAcentral
GAUGAACGCUGGCGGCGUGCCUAAUACAUGCAAGUCGAGCGAACAGACGAGGAGCCUGCUCCUCUGACGUUAGCGGCGGACGGGUGAGUAACACGUGGAUAACCUACCUAUAAGACUGGGAUAACUUCGGGAAACCGGAGCUAAUACCGGAUAAUAUAUUGAACCGCAUGGUUCAAUAGUGAAAGACGGUUUUGCUGUCACUUAUAGAUGGAUCCGCGCCGCAUUAGCUAGUUGGUAAGGUAACGGCUUACCAAGGCGACGAUGCGUAGCCGACCUGAGAGGGUGAUCGGCCACACUGGAACUGAGACACGGUCCAGACUCCUACGGGAGGCAGCAGUAGGGAAUCUUCCGCAAAGGGCGAAAGCCUGACGGAGCAACGCCGCGUGAGUGAUGAAGGUCUUCGGAUCGUAAAACUCUGUUAUUAGGGAAGAACAAAUGUGUAAGUAACUAUGCACGUCUUGACGGUACCUAAUCAGAAAGCCACGGCUAACUACGUG